RNAcentral lists this ribosomal RNA (1245 nucleotides) under metagenome. RNAcentral's name for it is "bacterial LSU rRNA". It matches the Rfam family "Bacterial large subunit ribosomal RNA", at positions 1564 to 2818 of the family's 2925-position model. The record is from RNAcentral.
UGAAUACGAGAUGCUACGGCGUCGAAGCAGUGUAUGUCAGACUUCCAAGAAAAGCUCGCAAUGUCAUAAAUAAAGAAUGCCUGUACCAUAACCGACACAGGUGGGUAGGUAGAGUAUACUAAGGGGCGCGAGAUAACUCUCUCUAAGGAACUCGGCAAAAUAACUCCGUAACUUCGGGAGAAGGAGUGCCUUCUUUAAGAAGGUUGCAAUAACAAGAUCCAAGCAACUGUUUAUCAAAAACACAGGUCUCCGCUAAGUCGUAAGACGAUGUAUGGGGGCUGACGCCUGCCCAGUGCCAGAAGGUUAAAGAAGCUGGUUAGCAAUAGCGAAGCUGGUGACUGAAGCCCUGGUGAACGGCGGCCGUAACUAUAACGGUCCUAAGGUAGCGAAAUUCCUUGUCGGGUAAGUUCCGACCCGCACGAAAGGCGUAAUGAUUUGGAUACUGUCUCGGAGAGGGACUCGGUGAAAUAGACUUGUCUGUGAAGAUGCGGACUACCUGCACCAGGACAGAAAGACCCUAUGAAGCUUUACUGUAACCUGAAAUUGAAAUUGGACUUUAUUUGCGCAGUAUAGGUGGGAGGCGUUGAAAGUAAUCUUGCGGGAUUAGUGGAGCCGUCAGUGAGAUACCACUCCUAUAAUGUUAGAUUUCUAACUUUGGAUCAUGAUCUGGUCAAAGAACAGUUUCAGGCGGGCAGUUUGACUGGGGCGGUCGCCUCCCAAAUGGUAACGGAGGCGUACAAAGGUUUCCUCUGAACGGGUAGAAAUCGUAUCUACAGUGUAAAGGCAUAAGGAAGCUUGACUGUGAGACCUACAAGUCGAGCAGGGACGAAAGUCGGUCUUAGUGAUCUGACGGUGCUGAGUGGAAAGGCCGUCACUCAACGGAUAAAAGUUACUCUAGGAUAACAGGCUGAUCUCCCCCAAGAGUUCACAUCGACGGGGAGGUUUGGCACCUCGAUGUCGGCUCAUCGCAUCCUGGGGCGGUAGUACGUCCCAAGGGUUGGGCUGUUCGCCCAUGAAAGCGGUACGCGAGCUGGGUUCAGAACGUCGUGAGACAGUUCGGUCCAUAUCCGGUGUAGGCGUUAGAAUAUUGAGAGGAGCCUUCUCUAGUACGAGAGGACCGAGAAGGACAUACCUCUGGUGUACCAGUUAUCGUGCCAACGGUAAACGCUGGGUAGCUAUGUAUGGAGAGGAUAACCGCUGAAAGCAUCUAAGUGGGAAGCCCACCUCAAGAUGAGUAUUCUCAUC